RNAcentral lists this ribosomal RNA (791 nucleotides) under uncultured archaeon. RNAcentral describes it as "bacterial SSU rRNA". It matches the Rfam family "Archaeal small subunit ribosomal RNA", at positions 50 to 845 of the family's 1478-position model. The record is from RNAcentral.
CAUGCGAGGCGUGAGACUCAAGGUCUCGCCGAACUGCUCAGUAACACGUAGUCAACCUACUCUUAGAUGGAGGAUAAUCCCGCGAAAGUGGGGCUAAUACUCCAUAGUUGCCAGAUGCUGGAAUGCACUGGCAAUGAAAGCUCCGGCGUCUAAGAAUGGGACUGCGGCCUAUCAGGUUGUAGUGAGUGUAAAGUACUCACUAGCCUAUAACGGGUAGGGGACAUGAGAGUGUGAGCCUCGAGAUGCCUUCUGAGACAUGAAGGCAGGUCCUACGGGACGCAGCAGGCGCGAAAACUUUACAAUGCCGGCAACGGCGAUAAGGGGACCUCGAGUGCCAGGUUACAAAUCUGGCUGUCGUGAUGCCUAAAAAGCAUUGCAUAGCAAGGGCCGGGCAAGACCGGUGCCAGCCGCCGCGGUAACACCGGCGGCUCGAGUGGUAACCGUUAUUAUUGGGUCUAAAGGGUCUGUAGCCGGCCGGAUAAGUCUCUUGAGAAAUCCAGCAGCUCAACUGUUGGGCUUUCAGGAGAUACUGUCUGGCUCGAGGCCGGGAGAGGUGAGAGGUACUUCAGGGGUAGUGGUGAAAUCUUGUAAUCCUUGAAGGACCACCAGUGGCGAAGGCGUCUCACCAGAACGGACCUGACGGCAAGGGACGAAAGCUAGGGGCACGAACCGGAUUAGAUACCCGGGUAGUCCUAGCCGUAAACGAUACUCGCUAGGUGUCGGCCACGGUGCGACCGUUGUCGGUGCCGUAGGGAAGCCGUGAAGCGAGCCACCUGGGAAGUACGGCCGCA